GUUUUUAUAGUUUAAUAAAAACAUUGGUCUUGUAAACCAAAAUUAAGUAACAAACUUUAAAAACU
RNAcentral lists this transfer RNA (65 nucleotides) under Actias maenas. Its description in RNAcentral is "tRNA-Thr". It matches the Rfam family "tRNA". Rfam says of the family: Transfer RNA (tRNA) molecules are approximately 80 nucleotides in length. The record is from RNAcentral. Lineage: Eukaryota; Metazoa; Arthropoda; Insecta; Lepidoptera; Saturniidae.